Anopheles gambiae (African malaria mosquito) is the source of this 873-nucleotide long non-coding RNA. RefSeq lists it as uncharacterized. The record is from RefSeq and is a predicted model, not a curated record. The transcript has 3 exons. NCBI's taxonomy places the organism in Eukaryota, Metazoa, Arthropoda, Insecta, Diptera, Culicidae.
AAAACCGUCACCGAUUGGGUCCACUUCCGCACACUAACUGGCUCGCCUGAGCCAACCGCAAGCCACACACGGGGACCCAUCGGAUAUUAGGGCCGAGGAGUAAGAGGAGCGAGUGCAUGCCCGGACACGGCACUAUACCUUUCGUUUCAGCAGCUUUCCUGCCGCGCGAACACACCAUCAUCAUCCAAUUGCAAUGGUUCAGUGAAGGUGAAAUGGCAAGCACCAACCAGUACGUGGAGGCAGCACACAUGCGAACCUCUCCUCGACUUCGGUGUGCGUUUUCAGACGUCCAAUAAUUUAACGAAAAGGGCUUGAUUGUAUAUCGUGAAGUGAUCGCCCGCUCGCGAGGGAGAAGCCAACACUAAAACUCCACGGGCAAAAUGUACGGGCAAUUAGUAGCUUCCUUUUGUGUGCUGCUACACUUUCCCAUUUGCUUGCUGCUAUACUCAAACAGCUAUACUACUGGGGAGGAUGAUUGAGCGUAUGUGGCAUUGAUAAAAUCAACAAUUUAUGUAUUCAUUCCUAUCGUCUAAUCUGACUACUCCGUGCCGUUGGAUUUAAGGGAAUUAAAUCACCCUAAAAUCAUCUAAUCAUAUACACGUGCGCCCUACAACUUCGUCAUCGUUUCAAUGUAUCUAUCUGGGUUUAACUUCCGACCGAACUUUAACUAACAAAAUCCCCCUGUCCCGCCAAUUAAAACUCCAUCAUUAGAGAAACGUUUUGUAUGCAGUUACACACAGAUCCGCCGGUGCGAGAUGUAUCUUAUCAAUCUCAAACAAACUGCGUCUGCAUCGGAGACGUCAAACCACCCACUCUAGGCGCGCUGAGUGAAAAUUACCCAUCCGUUGCAGGCCCCCGUCGUAAAGGAAAGCA